UCUCUCUGAAUCUGCGAACGGCUCCGCAAACCAGUUGUAAACUAUAGCAAGCAAGCUCAGGGUCGGCUCUCGCGGGCUGGUUCUGGGCGAUAUGGAUAACCCUGGUAAUUCUGAGGCUAAUACAUGACCGCAAAACUUGGAGGACUGGCCUCGGCUGGGAAUCCGGGGGAUGUGCGAUUUAAGCUUGGUAUUUCUGGGAAGGGGCGCACGUUCAGACCACACUAAAAAGGUCGGGUCCCUUCGGGGGCCUGUCCCAGUGGCUCUUGCUGUGUGCUUCUGACCUAUCAACUAGACGGCAGCGUAACGGACAUGCUUUGGUGACAACGGGUACAGAGGAUUAGGGUUCGAUCCUGGAGAGUGGGCCUGAGAGAUU
RNAcentral lists this ribosomal RNA (373 nucleotides) under Colloderma oculatum. Its description in RNAcentral is "SSU rRNA". It matches the Rfam family "Eukaryotic small subunit ribosomal RNA", at positions 76 to 405 of the family's 1831-position model. Lineage: Eukaryota; Evosea; Eumycetozoa; Stemonitida; Stemonitidae. The record is from RNAcentral.